Molecule: long non-coding RNA, 868 nt
Organism: Cornus florida
Lineage: Eukaryota; Viridiplantae; Streptophyta; Magnoliopsida; Cornales; Cornaceae
Exons: 4
Source: RefSeq, a predicted model, not a curated record
UUCUGAAAUUAUCCCGAGUCUUCUGAUAAUUAUUUUUAGAGUACAAACCAAGAGUAAAUUUGGUAUUGAUUAGGACGAAGUUAGUCAUUUAUUUUUUAUGCUUAUCGCAAGUUCGAAACCAAUGGCGAUCACGAGAUUUUCUUCUUACUCGUCCAGAUGGUGUAGUUGCCAUUGAUUGUAAGUUGAAUGCGCGUAUAUAUAUAUAUAUAUAUUCGGAAGUGAUUAGAUGGUCGGCUAAAUUUGAAAAGGUUGCAUAUUACGAUGAAGUCGUUCCUUUUUGUGAUUGAAAAGCCUUUAAUCAAUAAAGGUACCAGAGGUGCAUAAUGGGUUAGGGUUAGCCUGUCCCAAAGAAUGCCUUUUGUAUGGGCUGUCGGGUAUUCCAAUGCUGUGGGUGUUACCUCUUCUUCAUCAGUUACGGGUUUUGAAGCGAAACGAGGUGCCUAAACUCUACUAUUGAACCAUAUUAUUUGGACAUUUUGCCUAGACGCAGGCUAUGAGGGUAGCCUUGUGGGCUCGAAAGAAGUUAAAGAAUGUUUGUUUGCACCACCCAUGUAAGGGUAGCACACAGUUGGAUGAGUGGCAGUUUGAGAAUUAACUCGUGUCUUCUGCUAACUGAUGACUUGAUUGUGGAAUAAUAUGGAGACUGAGGCUAUGGCCUUAAAUAGUGCAGAAUGGACACAUAGGAUUCAUGUGGCCGACCCCAAGUAGUUGGGAAAAAGGUUUGGUGGUUGUUUUUGUUGUAUUAGUUCUAUUGUUAUGUUUUAGAAUACUGCAGAGGAAUAUUGGGCUGUAUUCCCUUACAUGAUUUCUAUGUAAAAGAAUGUUUCUGGAGUUUAUUAAUUGUAUAAAAAAAUUUGUUUCUCCUUUA